RNAcentral lists this long non-coding RNA (1155 nucleotides) under Olea europaea subsp. europaea. Lineage: Eukaryota; Viridiplantae; Streptophyta; Magnoliopsida; Lamiales; Oleaceae. The record is from RNAcentral.
AUGGGCUUCAGUAAUCGGUUCGGUUAAGCAUAAAAAAAAAAAAGUCGUGAAAAUUACACAGUAGCCGGUGUUUGAAGAUCUCUUUCCAAAAAUCAGAUACAAACUUUAAUUAAUUACAAAUCGGCAAUAAUUAUAUAUUUCAAUAUUAAUAAUAAUAUUGCAUUAAUCAAUCUCAUCCAGUUCAUCCCCAAUCCCUUUCAAAACAUAAAUCUCUCUCUCACCAUGAUGUCUGACGUUGCCAGUCGACAUAAAGCUCCGACAAUGGACAAGCGACAGUACUAUAGAUCAGGGCGGAGAAGAGACGGUAUGGUGGUGGUGCAAGGUGGAGGCAGGUUGGUGUUGGUCUCUUCUCUCCGUCAUCAGUCCGACGACUUAGCGCCAACAUAAAGCUCCAACAAUAGAGAAGUGGUUGACGCUGCAGAUCGGGGCGAAAAAGAUAAGGUGUGGUGGUGGUUUUGUUGGUGAUUUUUCGAAUAAAUUUAUUGUAAUAGCUUGUUGGUUACUGUGGUGGUGGUGGUGCAAGUUGGUGUUUUGUGCUGAUUGUCGGUGUAAAGGGUUGCUUCAAUGGCGUUGAAAUGAUUUUUGGGCUUCUUUCUGAUCUAUUUUUGUGGGGCUGAUAGGGUGUUUGGUGGUGAUGCAAGUUGUGAUAAUUGGCAGUGCUGGUAUUUUGCAUGGUAGUGGUUUUGUGGUGGUGGAUCUGGCAGUUUGGGGUUUUAUUUAAUUUAGCCUAUGGCAGGGGCGGCGAAGGUGGUGUGUUUGUGUCAUUUUUGUUGUUGUUGGCGGUGGUUGUGAUGGUGUUAAGCGAGCAAUGGUUGUGAGGUGGUGGUCGUUUUUGUGCAAGCAACAAUUGGGAGGUGUUGGUGCUGUGUGGACGGUGGUUGCAGUGUGUUUAGUGCAAGCGGCGAUUGUGAGGAGGUGAUUUGUGACUAAGAUUGGUAUUGGAUCGGGAUUGGUGGUGGGGUGUACGGUGCGUGUGAUCAAAUAUUUGAAAUUUGUGACUAAUAAAUUUGAAAAUAUGUGAUCCAUAGAAAAUUGUGACCUGUAAUUUUUUUGAUCUUUGACCAAUGAAAUAAACUGUGAGCCAUAAAAAAUUUUAUUUAUGACCUCGAAAUAAUCUUUGAUCUACAAAAAUUUUAUUUGUGAAUUCAAAAUAAU